UAGGGAAUCUUCGGCAAUGGACGGAAGUCUGACCGAGCAACGCCGCGUGAGUGAAGAAGGUUUUCGGAUCGUAAAGCUCUGUUGUAAGAGAAGAACGAGUGUGAGAGUGGAAAGUUCACACUGUGACGGUAUCUUACCAGAAAGGGACGGCUAACUACGUGCCAGCAGCCGCGGUAAUACGUAGGUCCCGAGCGUUGUCCGGAUUUAUUGGGCGUAAAGCGAGCGCAGGCGGUUAGAUAAGUCUGAAGUUAAAGGCUGUGGCUUAACCAUAGUAGGCUUUGGAAACUGUUUAACUUGAGUGCAAGAGGGGAGAGUGGAAUUCCAUGUGUAGCGGUGAAAUGCGUAGAUAUAUGGAGGAACACCGGUGGCGAAAGCGGCUCUCUGGCCUGUAACUGACGCUGAGGCUCGAAGGCGUGGGGAGCAAACAGGAUUAGAUACCCUGGUAGUCCACGCUGUAAACGAUGAGUGCUAGGUGUUAGACCCUUUCCGGGGUUUAGUGCCGUAGCUAACGCAUUAAGCACUCCGCCUGGGGAGUACGACCGCAAGGUUG
This 550-nucleotide ribosomal RNA is filed under the name uncultured bacterium. RNAcentral describes it as "bacterial SSU rRNA". It matches the Rfam family "Bacterial small subunit ribosomal RNA", at positions 355 to 896 of the family's 1533-position model. The record is from RNAcentral.